Molecule: ribosomal RNA, 1343 nt
Filed under: uncultured bacterium
Lineage: Bacteria
Description: 16S ribosomal RNA
Rfam family: Bacterial small subunit ribosomal RNA
Source: RNAcentral
GACGAACGCUGGCGGCGUGCUUAACACAUGCAAGUCGAACGGAAAGGCCCUGCUUUUGUGGGGUGCUCGAGUGGCGAACGGGUGAGUAACACGUGAGUAACCUGCCCUUGACUUUGGGAUAACUUCAGGAAACUGGGGCUAAUACCGGAUAGGAGCUCCUGCUGCAUGGUGGGGGUUGGAAAGUUUCGGCGGUUGGGGAUGGACUCGCGGCUUAUCAGCUUGUUGGUGGGGUAGUGGCUUACCAAGGCUUUGACGGGUAGCCGGCCUGAGAGGGUGACCGGCCACAUUGGGACUGAGAUACGGCCCAGACUCCUACGGGAGGCAGCAGUGGGGAAUAUUGCACAAUGGGCGGAAGCCUGAUGCAGCAACGCCGCGUGCGGGAUGACGGCCUUCGGGUUGUAAACCGCUUUCGCCUGUGACGAAGCGUGAGUGACGGUAAUGGGUAAAGAAGCACCGGCUAACUACGUGCCAGCAGCCGCGGUGAUACGUAGGGUGCGAGCGUUGUCCGGAUUUAUUGGGCGUAAAGGGCUCGUAGGUGGUUGAUCGCGUCGGAAGUGUAAUCUUGGGGCUUAACCCUGAGCGUGCUUUCGAUACGGGUUGACUUGAGGAAGGUAGGGGAGAAUGGAAUUCCUGGUGGAGCGGUGGAAUGCGCAGAUAUCAGGAGGAACACCAGUGGCGAAGGCGGUUCUCUGGGCCUUUCCUGACGCUGAGGAGCGAAAGCGUGGGGAGCGAACAGGCUUAGAUACCCUGGUAGUCCACGCUGUAAACGGUGGGUACUAGGUGUGGGGUCCAUUCCACGGGUUCCGUGCCGUAGCUAACGCUUUAAGUACCCCGCCUGGGGAGUACGGCCGCAAGGCUAAAACUCAAAGGAAUUGACGGGGCCCCGCACAAGCGGCGGAGCAUGCGGAUUAAUUCGAUGCAACGCGUAGAACCUUACCUGGGUUUGACAUGGAUCGGGAGUGCUCAGAGAUGGGUGUGCCUCUUUUGGGGUCGGUUCACAGGUGGUGCAUGGCUGUCGUCAGCUCGUGUCGUGAGAUGUUGGGUUAAGUCCCGCAACGAGCGCAACCCUUGUUCACUGUUGCCAGCACGUUAUGGUGGGGACUCAGUGGAGACCGCCGGGGUCAACUCGGAGGAAGGUGGGGAUGACGUCAAGUCAUCAUGCCCCUUAUGUCCAGGGCUUCACGCAUGCUACAAUGGCUGGUACAGAGAGUGGCGAGCCUGUGAGGGUGAGCGAAUCUCGGAAAGCCAGUCUCAGUUCGGAUUGGGGUCUGCAACCCGACCUCAUGAAGUCGGAGUCGCUAGUAAUCGCAGAUCAGCAACGCUGCGGUGAAUACGUUCCCGGG